UACGAAGGGGGCUAGCGUUGCUCGGAUUGACUGGGCGUAAAGAGCGUGUAGGCGGCCAGGUAGGUCCGUUGUGAAAACUGGAGGCUUAACCUCCAGCUGUCGAUGGAAACCAUCUGGCUAGAGUCCGGAAGAGGAGAGUGGAAUUCCUGGUGUAGCGGUGAAAUGCGCAGAUAUCAGGAAGAACACCCGUGGCGAAGGCGGCUCUCUGGGACGGUACUGACGCUGAGACGCGAAAGCGUGGGUAGCAAACAGG
Molecule: ribosomal RNA, 253 nt
Filed under: uncultured bacterium
Lineage: Bacteria
Description: partial 16S ribosomal RNA
Rfam family: Bacterial small subunit ribosomal RNA
Source: RNAcentral